AUUGGAUUCAACAUUUUUGCAUCAUAAUAUAAAGUCAUUAUACGUGUAAAAGAAUCCAAAUGCACUCUCUUCAGGGCCGUUCUCCUUUGCGUUUUAGAAAGAUUUUUUCAAUAAAAAGUCUUUUUCUUUUAAAAGGAGCCAAGAAUAAUCUCCAUUUCAAAAAAAAUUCGCCAUCGGAAAAGUCAUUUUAUCCAGAUGAAAAAGUUAAAAUUUUCUCCUUUUCUUCAGCCAAAAGUGCUUUUGGCUAGUAAUUUCCAUUUUUCUCCCCCCAAAACCGUUCCUCCCUCUGGUUAUUUGCCUGAGAUAUCAAGUUCUUUACCUUUGUUUCUUUUCCUCUGGUUCUUUGUUCCUCUUCCGCUGGCACAGUAAUUACAGAUGAACCCCAAUUGAUUAGCAUCACCGUUUACGACACCGACCGUGAUAGAAUGCAAAACACUGUCGCCAAGGUUGCCGUGGUGAGAAGCUUUCAGGGUCUGUUUGUGCCGCUACUUUGGCAAGGGAUGGAAUUUUAGUGACCCUUUUUGACUCUGCCAGGGGUCCUGGUGGCCGCAUGUCUCAAAGAAGGUUCCUUUUUUGUUUCUCUCCACUUAUUUUUUUAUUAAAAAUUCAUUUUCUUUGACGAAUUUUGACUGCCCUUUUUAUAUUCUAUUGUUUCCUGGUGUUUUGGGAAGCAGAAAUAAAAUUUUAAAGUGCAUAGUUUAAUGAAUUUUUGUUGUUUUUGGUAAUAUGUAACUUUGGGAAUUUAGAGAGAUAAGUGAAGAUGGGAGAGAGCUGUUAUUCGAUCAUAGUGCUCCUUAUUUCACAGUGACAAAUCCCGAUGUGUUGAGUGUUGUUACUGAGUGGGAAUCAAGAGGCCUUGUUGUUGAAUGGAAAUCGAAUUUUGGGUCUUUUGAUUGUUUCACCAACAAAAUUGUCAACACUGAACACCAGGUUCUUGUAACUAUUAUUAUACUAUUUGUUCUUCACUUCUUUUUGCUCCACCUAAUGGUACUAUUAUUUGUUUAUGUGCAUGGUUUUAUCUUAAUUAUAUCUUAACUUGCUUAUGAGGAGAGGGCAACGAUGUUUUUGAAUUGCUUAUGUGCAUGAAUUGAUGCUUUUUUCUUGAUUUCUUAGAAGCUUGGAACUAUUUUUUUUUUUGAAGUUAAUAGGAUACUGUUAAACGUUAAUGAUCCUUGCUAUAGUUGCUUCGUAAGUGCUUGCUUGCUAUAUUGUUCUUUUUUAUGUUCAUGCACUCUUCAGCUUGAUUCACUUGUAGGGUUCUUUCAUUUAACCCUUCAUCAGCUUAGGCUGUUUAUGAUUGUAUUAUGUUUUCAAUUAAAAGGUCAGCAUAUCUAUGUAAAGUGUUGCAUAGUUGGUCAACGUCCAGCUCCAGUAUUGAUUCUGAUGUUUAUAUUAUAUAUAGUCUCACAGAUGCCCAUUUUUUAGACAAAUAAAAACCGGUGAUAUGUUUUAAACUCUACUGUUUGGUAUUAUUGCUUUAGUUCUCUGUUUGAUACACUAGAAAUUCUAAAAUCUGGAGAAAGAUUAGCUGCUUCAGAAGUGGGACUACUUGCUACAGUUGGUGUUACUAUGGUGAAGGUACUACAUUGCCUACUGUAAUACCCAAUUUUAGCCCGGGCUCACAUAUGGAAACAUAAUCUUCGAAGAUAUGCAAUCUUAGAUAUGAUAUGCAAUCUUAGAUAUGAUAUAUGCAAUCUUAGAAGAUAUGAUUUUGUAAUCUUAGAGAUUUAAUUUGUAGAUACCAUUUAAUCUUAGCCAUUGAUGUAAUUGAUCUGUACCGUUGGAUUUGAGGAAGCUCAACUAUAAAUAGAGGCCUCUCCCUUCAUUGUAAAAGAGGAAAUGAGGGAAUCAAUAAAAAAAUGGAGAACGAUUGGCAGUUUUUUAAA
Long non-coding RNA from Gossypium raimondii (Peruvian cotton), 1886 nucleotides. RefSeq lists it as uncharacterized. The record is from RefSeq and is a predicted model, not a curated record. The transcript has 3 exons. Lineage: Eukaryota; Viridiplantae; Streptophyta; Magnoliopsida; Malvales; Malvaceae.